Seriola aureovittata is the source of this 442-nucleotide long non-coding RNA. RefSeq lists it as uncharacterized. The record is from RefSeq and is a predicted model, not a curated record. The transcript has 2 exons. NCBI's taxonomy places the organism in Eukaryota, Metazoa, Chordata, Actinopteri, Carangiformes, Carangidae.
GAAGAAGAAGAAGAAGAAGAAGAAGAAGAAGAAGAAGAAGAAGAAGAAGAAGAAGAAGAAGAAGGAAAGCAUUUGGAGAAAUAAAGCUUCAGAUAGAGAAGUGAAACAUCAUGAUUGGAUGUCUGGGUGACGAGCAGAGUGACAUCAUCAUCCAUCCCGGGCUGAUGUGAUAAUCACACCAUCUCUAUCGCUGUAACGCUGCUUCAGGGAAGGAAGCGACAGGCGACAUGAACAGCAGGGUUAGUGUCUUACUGACUGGGUGUGUAACUUUAUUCUGCAGAGCGAACUCUUCUUUCUUCUCUGAUGCAAAUUAAAGAGUUGAAGCAGCAGCUGAUGCUUUUUCCUGAAUCUCAGCUUCAUUCUCUCCGACAACAUCCCGACUAUAACACGUCUGAUGACUUCAGUUAUACUGUAACAAAUAAAUCAAUACUGAUCACUCGUA